This 460-nucleotide ribosomal RNA is filed under the name uncultured bacterium. RNAcentral's name for it is "partial 16S ribosomal RNA". It matches the Rfam family "Bacterial small subunit ribosomal RNA", at positions 338 to 795 of the family's 1533-position model. The record is from RNAcentral.
CCUACGGGGGGCAGCAGUGAGGAAUAUUGGUCAAUGGACGAGAGUCUGAACCAGCCAAGUAGCGUGAAGGAUGACUGCCCUAUGGGUUGUAAACUUCUUUUAUAUGGGAAUAAAAUGUUCCACGUGUGGGAUUUUGUAUGUACCAUAUGAAUAAGGAUCGGCUAACUCCGUGCCAGCAGCCGCGGUAAUACGGAGGAUCCGAGCGUUAUCCGGAUUUAUUGGGUUUAAAGGGAGCGUAGGUGGAUUGUUAAGUUAGUUGUGAAAGUUUGCGGCUCAACCGUAAAAUUGCAGUUGAUACUGGCAGUCUUGAGUACAGUAGAGGUGGGCGGAAUUCGUGGUGUAGCGGUGAAAUGCUUAGAUAUCACGAAGAACUCCGAUUGCGAAGGCAGUUCACUGGACUGCAACUGACACUGAGGCUCGAAAGUGUGGGUAUCAAACAGGAUUAGAUACCCCAGUAGUC